Molecule: long non-coding RNA, 1111 nt
Organism: Sciurus carolinensis (gray squirrel)
Lineage: Eukaryota; Metazoa; Chordata; Mammalia; Rodentia; Sciuridae
Exons: 2
Source: RefSeq, a predicted model, not a curated record
CUUCUCUGCCAGCUGACUUUAUGGGGACCAUCAUGACUGUUAAAUUUGAUUCAGGCAAGAUGCACCACUGGGCAAAUUUUAUUGAGAGUUCUCCAUGCCAAGAACUCCUACAAUCUGUCAUCUGAGAAAGCCCCAGAAUGCUGAGACAGGAGCCAGGGUCUGCCUUUAAGCCAGGUGAAACCAUCGCUGCAAGAGACUAUAUUUGGACCCACAAUGUGUCAGAAGGAUGACAUAUUCUAUAUAACCUUUUCACCCUUUCUGCUUCUGUGUACACAAGUCUCUGUAGAAUUACCGGAGAUUCAGUGACUUUUUAAUAUUCCCCAGAGCUACCUUCAAAAACUGUGAGAUCACUUGGAUAGAGGCAGCAUUCAAAUGCUGAGUGUGAACACUCAGAGAGGAGAUUCAGACUACAGCAAUUGUUAGCAUCUUUGAGCAUUAACUAUUCUCAGAAAAUGGAGUAUUUGGAUCGCAGCUCUGAAGAAGGCAGAAGGUUUUAGCAACAGAAUCGCCAUUUUACAUUUCACAACCAUGGGACAAGUCACCCUCUUCUUCCUGCAGUCUAUGACUCUGGCUUCUCAGCGGAGUUCCUGGAAACAAACGCAACUGGAGGAGAUCAAAUCCCAGCGUUCCUGGUAUGUGGAACUGCGGCCCACCAUCACUCUCCAAGGAGCCCACGAGGUGUGGUGAUGUUGAGCUCUGAACUAGAGGUCAGGAUAUUUUGGUUGCUAAUUCUAGCUCUGCCACUUCCCUGCCAGGUGACUUUCUUGUGUCAGGUGACUAUAUGAGGCCUGCUGCUUCCUUAUGUGCAGAAUGAGGACUGUCCUUGGUGUUAUUCCCAGUUUCAACGUUCUAGAAGACUGCGUUAGCUUUGUCAAACCAAAUUCUGGAAGUAAGUAGCAAAUGUUUAGAUGAUUAUAUACUUAGGAACUUGAGUAGAAGUCCCAGACAUUUGGCAUUGGAUGGCAAAAUCUCAGAGCUAUGAAGUUUCACUCAAGUACAAAGUCCCCUGAACACUCAAUUGUACACUUUCUCUAAUGUGACAUUCUUUGACAGAUAAUUUUAUCAUGUUGGUGGACAAUGACUUUAUUGAAUAAAUGUUCUUUGAACUCUA